RNAcentral lists this ribosomal RNA (400 nucleotides) under Leptailurus serval (serval). Its description in RNAcentral is "partial small subunit ribosomal RNA". The record is from RNAcentral. Lineage: Eukaryota; Metazoa; Chordata; Mammalia; Carnivora; Felidae.
CACUAUGCUUAGCCCUAAACUUAGAUAGUUAACUUAAACAAAACUAUCCGCCAGAGAACUACUAGCAACAGCUUAAAACUCAAAGGACUUGGCGGUGCUUUAUAUCCCUCUAGAGGAGCCUGUUCUAUAAUCGAUAAACCCCGAUACACCUCACCAUCCCUUGCUAAUUCAGCCUAUAUACCGCCAUCUUCAGCAAACCCUAAAAAGGAAGAAAAGUAAGCACAAGUAUCUUAACACAAAAAAGUUAGGUCAAGGUGUAGCCCAUGAGAUGGGAAGCAAUGGGCUACAUUUUCUAGAACUAGAACACCCACGAAAAUCCUUAUGAAACUAAGUAUUAAAGGAGGAUUUAGUAGUAAAUUUGAGAAUAGAGAGCUCAAUUGAAUUGGGCCAUGAAGCACGC